CCUACGGGCGGCAGCAGUGGGGAAUAUUGCGCAAUGGGGGAAACCCUGAUGCAGCGACGCCGCGUGAUUGAAGAAGUAAUUCGUUAUGUAAAGCUCUUUCAGCAGGGAAGAAUUUGACGGUACCUGAGUAAGAAACCCCGGCUCACUACGUGCCAGAAGCCGCGGUAAUACGUAGGGGUGAAGCGUUAUCCGGAUUUACUGGGUGGAAAGGGAGCGUAGGCGGCGGUGCAAGCCUGGAGUGAAAGGCGGGGGCUUAACCCCCGGACUGCUCUGGAAACUGUACGGCUGGAGUGCAGGAGAGGUAAGUGGAAUUCCGAGUGUAGCGGUGAAAUGCGUAGAUAUUAGGAGGAACACCAGUGGCGAAGGCGGCUUACUGGACUGUAACUGACGUUGAGGCUCGAAAGCGUGGGGAGCAAACAGGAUUAGAUACCCCUGUAGUC
Molecule: ribosomal RNA, 440 nt
Filed under: uncultured bacterium
Lineage: Bacteria
Description: partial 16S ribosomal RNA
Rfam family: Bacterial small subunit ribosomal RNA
Source: RNAcentral